ACUCCGUACGGGAGGCAGCAGGUGGGGAAUAUUGGACAAUGGGCGAAAGCCUGAUCCAGCCAUGCCGCGUGUGUGAAGAAGGUCUUCGGAUUGUAAAGCACUUUAAGUUGGGAGGAAGGGCAGUUACCUAAUACGUGAUUGUUUUGACGUUACCGACAGAAUAAGCACCGGCUAACUCUGUGCCAGCAGCCGCGGUAAUACAGAGGGUGCAAGCGUUAAUCGGAAUUACUGGGCGUAAAGCGCGCGUAGGUGGUUAGUUAAGUUGGAUGUGAAAUCCCCGGGGCUCAACCUGGGAACUGCAUUCAAAACUGACUGACUAGAGUAUGGUAGAGGGUGGUGGAAUUUCCUGUGUAGCGGUGAAAUGCGUAGAUAUAGGAAGGAACACCAGUGGCGAAGGCGACCACCUGGACUGAUACUGACACUGAGGUGCGAAAGCGUGGGGAGC
RNAcentral lists this ribosomal RNA (445 nucleotides) under uncultured bacterium. Its description in RNAcentral is "bacterial SSU rRNA". It matches the Rfam family "Bacterial small subunit ribosomal RNA", at positions 335 to 769 of the family's 1533-position model. The record is from RNAcentral.